RNAcentral lists this ribosomal RNA (466 nucleotides) under uncultured bacterium. Its description in RNAcentral is "SSU rRNA". It matches the Rfam family "Bacterial small subunit ribosomal RNA", at positions 26 to 518 of the family's 1533-position model. The record is from RNAcentral.
AGGACUAACGCUGGCGGCGUGCCUAACACAUGCAAGUCGAGCGGGGUAGCAAUACCCAGCGGCAGACGGGUGAGUAACGCGUGGUCAACCUUCCGUUGAAUGGGGGAUAACUAGCCGAAAGGUUAGCUAAUACCGCAUACGAUCUUUUGAAGGCAUCUUUAAAAAGAUGAAAGGAGCAAUUCGUUCAACGACGGGACCGCGUCCCAUUAGCUAGAUGGUGGGGUAAUGGCCUACCAUGGCAACGAUGGGUAGCUGGUUUGAGAGAGCGACCAGCCACACUGGGACUGAGAAACGGCCCAGACUCCUACGGGAGGCAGCAGUGAGGAAUUUUCCGCAAUGGGCGAAAGCCUGACGGAGCGACGCCGCGUGUGGGAAGAAGGCCUUCGGGUCGUAAACCACUGUCGAAGGGGACGAUAAUGACGGUACCCUUGGAGGAAGCCCCGGCUAACUACGCGCCAGCAGCCGC